RNAcentral lists this unclassified non-coding RNA (379 nucleotides) under uncultured Caryophanaceae bacterium. RNAcentral's name for it is "uncultured Planococcaceae bacterium contains 16S-23S intergenic spacer region". Lineage: Bacteria; Bacillati; Bacillota; Bacilli; Caryophanales; Caryophanaceae. The record is from RNAcentral.
UCCGGUUUGUCACCGGCAGUCUCCUUAGAGUGCCCAACUAAAUGAUGGCAACUAAGAACAAGGGUUGCGCUCGUUGCGGGACUUAACCCAACAUCUCACGACACGAGCUGACGACAACCAUGCACCACCUGUCACCGCUGUCCCCGAAGGGAAAACUAUGUCUCCAUAGCGGUCAGCGGGAUGUCAAGACCUGGUAAGGUUCUUCGCGUUGCUUCGAAUUAAACCACAUGCUCCACCGCUUGUGCGGGCCCCCGUCAAUUCCUUUGAGUUUCAGUCUUGCGACCGUACUCCCCAGGCGGAGUGCUUAAUGCGUUAGCUGCAGCACUAAGGGGCGGAAACCCCCUAACACUUAGCACUCAUCGUUUACGGCGUGGACUAC